Long non-coding RNA from Apodemus sylvaticus (European woodmouse), 1593 nucleotides. RefSeq lists it as uncharacterized. The record is from RefSeq and is a predicted model, not a curated record. NCBI's taxonomy places the organism in Eukaryota, Metazoa, Chordata, Mammalia, Rodentia, Muridae. The transcript is spliced from 3 exons.
ACAGGUUCCGGUGGUUGACCUUAGAUCAUCGGGUCUUGCCAAGUCAGAGGAGGGAAUCAGAUCCCCUUCAACUGGAGCUGCCAAUGGUUGCAAGCCACACUACAAGAUCUGUCUUCAUAGUCCUACCUGGACUCACACUCAAAAAUCUUCCUGCCUCCUUCCCGAGUCCUGAAAUUGCAGUCACACACCACAAUGCCUACCUUGAUUCUCCUGCACUGAAGUUAGAAUUCCUCCACAGGUUGGCAUCUCAACCUUCUGGUUUCCUUCGAAGAUCACAACUCAAUGAAAGGGACUGGCACCCACCAUUAAACAUAGCAACUUAGGAUGUCUAGUCCCUGACAUAUCUAUCAAAAGGCAAGAGGACCAUUGGAUACUUUAUUGAUACUUCAAGGCUUCUGCCCACAUUACCAGGUAGCUCUUCUGGUAUUGUGACAUUCUGCCAUAGUUUCCAAGGGAAUAUUCCCCUAACCUAAUGGGGCUCAGUAUUGAUCAGGAAAAUGCUCUUUAUAAUUCUAAACUUGCUUCACCAAAUUUUAUUGAUUUAUUUUGUAAGAAGUCAUUCCCUUACAAAAGCUUGGGAUGAGUCUCUACCCUAUCCCCAACUUGACUUUAAAACAAACAAAUCAGGAGAACCAGAAAGGUCAAUCAUGGGCUAAAUUACUCUCCUUGCCUCUCAGCUUUCAAGUGUAAUGCUUCUACUUGAUUUUAAUGGCUGAGUUUCCUCGAAGUUAUGCAGAUCUGAUUACCACUACCAGUUAAUUGGUGUUCCUCAACUCUAGUCCACAUAUUUAUUAUUGGAACUGGAGAAGGCUGCUGUGUAAAGAAGCAGGGCCUUCCUCACAAGGGAAAACGUGAGAUUAUGCCCCUUUCCCAAGUAGGCUGUCAACCACUUCCUUGACUACAAAGAUCAAGAUACUGAUUGCUUUCUUGGCUUGGCCUUGCCUUUUUGAAUCCAUCCCACUCCCCUGGGUCACUCUGACAUAGCUCCCAAAGAAGGCAAAAGGGAAUAGUUAGAGAAGUUACUGAAGCAGGUAUGCCUUGACAUAAAACUUUAAAGGUCACCACUUAGUAGAUCUUUUAUUUCAGAUUUAUUUAUUUUUACUUUAUGCAUAUGGGUAUUUUGACCUGCAUGAAUGACUGUGCACCACAUGUGUGUAAUGCCUGUGGAGGCUAACGAGGGUGUCAGAUCUCUGGAGCCAGUGUCUAGGAUGGUUGUGAGCUCCCAUGCCAUUGCUAGAAACUGAACCUUGGUUCUCUAAAAGAGCAAAAAGUUCUCUUAAUUGCUGAGCCAUCUUUCUAGCCCAAAGCUUAGAAGACUUUAGGAGCUGUCAGCAAUGAUCUAUCACCUGAGGAUGACUUUACAACCACUCCAAAUGCUUCAGGAUCACUAUCCAUAAUGCACUUAAAGGACCAUAAGGUAAAUUAUGUAUUAGAAUUUAACAUCUUAAUUGGCUAUAGGAACAGACAAGCCCCAAAAAGGAUGUAAAUACCUGUAAUUCCAUUUCCUGGGAGGUAAAAACAUAAGGAUCAGUUUAAAUUUAGCCUUGUUACAAGUGGAGUUAAGGCCAAGUGACCUUAGACCCUGUCUCAGAA